This 458-nucleotide ribosomal RNA is filed under the name uncultured bacterium. Its description in RNAcentral is "bacterial SSU rRNA". It matches the Rfam family "Bacterial small subunit ribosomal RNA", at positions 339 to 794 of the family's 1533-position model. The record is from RNAcentral.
CUACGGGAGGCAGCAGUGAGGAAUAUUGGUCAAUGGGCGCAAGCCUGAACCAGCCAUCCCGCGUGCAGGAAGAAGGCGCUAUGCGUUGUAAACUGCUUUUGCAGGGGAAGAAUGUCUCGUAUGUAUACGGGAUUGCCGGUACCUUGUGAAUAAGCAUCGGCUAACUCCGUGCCAGCAGCCGCGGUAAUACGGAGGAUGCGAGCGUUAUCCGGAUUUAUUGGGUUUAAAGGGUGCGUAGGCGGAUUGAUAAGUCAGUGGUGAAAUACUGCAGCUUAACUGUAGAAUUGCCGUUGAUACUGUCAGUCUUGAGUAUGGUUAAGGUAGGCGGAAUGUGUAAUGUAGCGGUGAAAUGCUUAGAUAUUACACAGAACACCGAUUGCGAAGGCAGCUUACUGAGCCAAAACUGACGCUGAGGCACGAAAGCGUGGGGAGCGAACAGGAUUAGAUACCCCGGUAGA